Molecule: ribosomal RNA, 415 nt
Filed under: uncultured bacterium
Lineage: Bacteria
Description: bacterial SSU rRNA
Rfam family: Bacterial small subunit ribosomal RNA
Source: RNAcentral
UGAGUGAAGAAGGCCCUCGGGUUGUAAAGCUCUUUUGUCCGGAAAGAAAAGCUUCGGGUUAAUACCCCGGGGUUCUGACGGUACCGGAAGAAUAAGCACCGGCUAACUUCGUGCCAGCAGCCGCGGUAAUACGAAGGGUGCAAGCGUUACUCGGAAUUACUGGGCGUAAGGCGUGCGUAGGUGGUUCGUUAAGUCUGAUGUGAAAGCCCUGGGCUCAACCUGGGAAUUGCAGUGGAUACUGGAUCACUAGAGUGUGGUAGAGGGUGGCGGAAUUCCCGGUGUAGCAGUGAAAUGCGUAGAGAUCGGGAGGAACAUCCGUGGCGAAGGCGGCCACCUGGGCCAACACUGACACUGAGGCACGAAAGCGUGGGGAGCAAACAGGAUUAGAUACCCUGGUAGUCCACGCCCUAAACGA